GAUGAACGCUGGCGGCGUGCCUAAUACAUGCAAGUCGAGCGAACAGACGAGGAGCUUGCUCCUCUGACGUUAGCGGCGGACGGGUGAGUAACACGUGGAUAACCUACCUAUAAGACUGGGAUAACUUCGGGAAACCGGAGCUAAUACCGGAUAAUAUAUUGAACCGCAUGGUUCAAUAGUGAAAGACGGUUUUGCUGUCACUUAUAGAUGGAUCCGCGCCGCAUUAGCUAGUUGGUAAGGUAACGGCUUACCAAGGCAACGAUGUGUAGCCGACCUGAGAGGGUGAUCGGCCACACUGGAACUGAGACACGGUCCAGACUCCUACGGGAGGCAGCAGUAGGGAAUCUUCCGCAAUGGGCGAAAGCUUGACGGAGCAACGCCGCGUGAGUGAUGAAGGUCUUCGGAUCGUAAAACUCUGUUAUUAGGGAAGAACAAAUGUGUAAGUAACUAUGCACGUCUUGACGGUACCUAAUCAGAAAGCCACGGCUAACUACGU
Molecule: ribosomal RNA, 496 nt
Filed under: uncultured bacterium
Lineage: Bacteria
Description: partial 16S ribosomal RNA
Rfam family: Bacterial small subunit ribosomal RNA
Source: RNAcentral